UGACCAAGGGGUCGGGACGUUCUGCCUGUUUCAGGGGCGGAGUGACCUACGGGUACAGGGAGUGCCUGCGCAAGGGCCGGGUCAGGUAAAAG
RNAcentral lists this non-coding RNA (92 nucleotides) under Pseudomonas fluorescens NCIMB 11764. RNAcentral describes it as "ivy-DE RNA". It matches the Rfam family "ivy-DE RNA". The record is from RNAcentral. Lineage: Bacteria; Pseudomonadati; Pseudomonadota; Gammaproteobacteria; Pseudomonadales; Pseudomonadaceae. RNAcentral also lists the same sequence under 2 other names.